CGGAGGGAUCAUUACAAGUGACCCCGGUUUACCACCGGGAUGUUCAUAACCCUUUGUUGUCCGACUCUGUUGCCUCCGGGGCGACCCUGCCUUCGGGCGGGGGCUCCGGGUGGACACUUCAAACUCUUGCGUAACUUUGCAGUCUGAGUAAACUUAAUUAAUAAAUUAAAACUUUUAACAACGGAUCUCUUGGUUCUGGCAUCGAUGAAGAACGCAGCGAAAUGCGAUAAGUAAUGUGAAUUGCAGAAUUCAGUGAAUCAUCGAAUCUUUGAACGCACAUUGCGCCCCCUGGUAUUCCGGGGGGCAUGCCUGUUCGAGCGUCAUUUCACCACUCAAGCCUCGCUUGGUAUUGGGCAACGCGGUCCGCCGCGUGCCUCAAAUCGACCGGCUGGGUCUUCUGUCCCCUAAGCGUUGUGGAAACUAUUCGCUAAAGGGUGUUCGGGAGGCUACGCCGUAAAACAACCCCAUUUCUAAGGUUGACCUCGGAUCAGGUAGGGAUACCCGCUGAACUUAAGCAUA
Molecule: ribosomal RNA, 519 nt
Filed under: Cladosporium perangustum
Lineage: Eukaryota; Fungi; Ascomycota; Dothideomycetes; Cladosporiales; Cladosporiaceae
Description: eukaryotic LSU rRNA
Rfam family: 5.8S ribosomal RNA (bases 170-323)
Source: RNAcentral